This is a long non-coding RNA of Orcinus orca (killer whale), 1680 nucleotides long. RefSeq lists it as uncharacterized. Lineage: Eukaryota; Metazoa; Chordata; Mammalia; Artiodactyla; Delphinidae. The record is from RefSeq and is a predicted model, not a curated record. The transcript has 2 exons.
GUCAAAAAGGAGGAAGUUCUUGGGCUUCCCUGGUGGAUUCUUAACCACUGUGCCGCCAGGGAAGUCCAGCCAUGUCCUUUAUGGUUAGUGUUUUUUUGUGGAUGUGUGCCCAGAUGAAUAUUUUUUCAACUUGAGGUCAUACAAGCAUUACCGUAUACUACUAUCUACUAAAGGCUCUUUUAGUUUACUUUCAUAUUUCAGUUGAUAUCUGCCUGGAAUUGUUUCUGUGAUGUGAAAUUGCCAUCAUACUUGUUUCCACUCCCCCGCAUGGACAUACCCCGUUGUUCCAGCACUGUCUACUGAAAAGACUGUCCUUUCCCCACUAAACUGCACUGUCACCUUUGUCACAAAUCAAAUGCCCAUAUACAUGUGGGUUUCUUUCUGCACUCUAGAUUCUGUUUCAUUGCUCUGCUUAUCUCUCCAUAUCAAUGUCAUACUCAGCUUUCAAAUGCAUCUUGAUAACUGCAAGAACAAUUUUCCCACCUUGUUCUUUUUAAGAAUGUCUUAGCUAUUCUUGACCUUUUGCAUUCUGUAUAAAUUUUAGACUCAGCUUAUUAUUUUCUUAAAGAAAAAAUGAACAUAAUAGGGAUUGAUUGAUAUUGCAUUGAAUUUGUAGAUCAAUUUGGGGAGAAUUAACAUUUUUACAGUAUUGAGUUCUCCAAACUACAAAUAUCUCACCAUUUGUUUAUGUCUUCUUCAAUUCUCUCAAUAGCAUUUUAUCAUUUUCUGCAUAAACAGCUUGCACAUCUUUUGUUAGAUUUAGUCCUAAGUACUUGAUAUUCUGAUGCUAUGGUAAAUUGGUUUUUGUUGUUGUUGUUUGUUUUUGUUUUUUUGGGUGAAGUAGAAAAGAAUAGCUUUAUUGCUUUGCCAGGCAAAGGGGGCCACAGCAGGCUCAUGCCCUCAAACCUGUGUGUCCCAUCCUGGAGGGGGAAGUGAAAAGUUUUACAGUAAUGGUUCAAAGAGGAGGGCAUGAUCAGGUGGUGGACAUGCUUCUAAUUGGUUGAUGGGGAGGUAAGUGGGAGUUAGUUAGCAUCAUCAGCCUUCUGGUUCAAACCAGUCUGGGGUCUACGUGCUUGUGGGCAGCAUAGAGUUAACUUCUCCCACCUGGUGGGGGUUUCCGUAUGAUUUUAGAUGCUAUCCAUUCCAAGGUAUUCUCUCAACCAGGUGUUAGUGCCCAAAAAGUUCUCGCAAAGAAAUGGCACAGAAGACAUCCCAGUGGUGCUGACGAGCGGGAGUUGGUCUAGCUAUAAGUUGGGAAUAAAGGGUCAGCACCUGGUUUCAGGACUUAAUGAAGCUCAGGUUCUUGAUGUCUCAUCACAGAAAGAAUUUAGUGAGAGACAAAGUGACAGGUAAAAAGUAGACUUAUUUAUAGAGAAACACAUUCCACAGACAGAGUGUGGGCCAUCUCAGAAGGCGAGAGUGGCCUUGGGAGACACACUCCACAGACAGUGUGGGCCAUCUCAGAAGGUGAGAAAGGCCGGUAAAUUGUAUUUUUAUUUCAUGUUGUGGAUAUAUAGAAACACAAUCACUUUUUUUGGUUGACUUUAUAUCCAGCAACCUUGCUAAAUUCUCUUUUUGAUUUUAACAAUUUAUCUGUAGGUUUUUCUUACAAUCUGGAGAUCAGAAAACUACUGCUGCUGUUACCGCUGUUGCCUCUGCCACAACUGCCUCACCCAGAAA